GUAUGACAAGGGCUUGUAACAGAGCCCUUGGUAGCGAGCUGCCAGUCCCCAGUUAGUGCAGUGUGAGGGGACCCCAGCAAUGCAGGGUGACUCACUCCUUUUAUUUCAGGCUUUGAUACCUGGCCAGAUUUAAACCGUGUUUUCUAUUUUCUGUAUCUCAUAUAGUUGUGCUAAAACUUCUGGCCAGGAAGGAUUUUUGCAAGCUCUGUUUUAUCUGCACAGCCAAAUAUACUGCCUAAACCAGCUCCUGCCACUGGAUCAUCUCCUACUGCUUUAGAAAGGUUCCUAAGACUUUAGAGUGAGCUCCUGACUUGGCACAUCUGUAUUUCUGGCCACCGCUUUAAUGAUUAUACAGCUCUGCAAAGAUGCCAUGGCCUACAAAUAAGGUGUACCAAUCAACAGUGUAAGCACAGCCAUUAUGCCACUUGAAGAAGGACAUACGUGGCUUCCCAGCUCGUUUAUGACAGGCUGAGCUUUUUCUUCCCCGAGUCAACAGAAGCAACAUCACCAGUUUCCAUGUAUGGACAAAGCCUCCAGGGCAACACCCGGGGCCAACAGGUAUGACUGGCACUGAACCAUAGUAUCAAUUCACAAGAGCAUGCAGAUAAGCACAUAAAUAGCACUUGCUGAUGUUUAGUCUCAGAGCAGAAAGUGUAAAGAUUUGCAAAAUUUGCACGAACGUUAAAAAGAGUGUUUACUGCAUUACAGCUUUACCCAAAGUGUAGAUACUAUACAUACAAUUACUGUUUUGCAAGACUAUAUAUGAAGUUUAUAGGACAAUUAUUAAUUAGCAACCAUCUCUAUGUAAACUACUGUCCCAAAUACAAUUUGUAAAAUUUAGA
Long non-coding RNA from Falco peregrinus (peregrine falcon), 842 nucleotides. RefSeq lists it as uncharacterized. The transcript has 3 exons. The record is from RefSeq and is a predicted model, not a curated record. Lineage: Eukaryota; Metazoa; Chordata; Aves; Falconiformes; Falconidae.